This 209-nucleotide ribosomal RNA is filed under the name uncultured eukaryote. Its description in RNAcentral is "partial 18S ribosomal RNA". It matches the Rfam family "Eukaryotic small subunit ribosomal RNA", at positions 1299 to 1458 of the family's 1831-position model. The record is from RNAcentral.
UGGUGGAGCGAUUUGUCUGGUUAAUUCCGUUAACGAACGAGAUCGAAACUUACUAACUAGCAGUGCUUAGCGUCUUUACGAGUGAAACCAGCGAUGCAGAUGGAGCUUUCGAAAGGGAGCGCCGUUUCUCGCUGGCGGAUCUUUGAUGAUUAGGUCGCUGCUUCUUAGAAGGACAAUUGGGGUUACCCAAAGGAAGAUCGGUAAUAACA